Molecule: unclassified non-coding RNA, 390 nt
Filed under: soil metagenome
Description: partial contains 5.8S ribosomal RNA, internal transcribed spacer 2, and large subunit ribosomal RNA
Rfam family: 5.8S ribosomal RNA (bases 1-122)
Source: RNAcentral
GAUGAAGAACGUAGCGAAAUGCGAUACUUGGUGUGAAUUGCAGAAUCCCGUGAACCAUCGAGUUUUUGAACGCAAGUUGCGCCCGAAGCCAUUCGGCCGAGGGCACGUCUGCCUGGGUGUCACGCAUCGUUGCCCCCCCAAACUCCGGUUCGGGCGGGGCGGAAGUUGGCCUCCCGUGCGUGCCUGCGCGCGCGGUUAGCCCAAAAGCGAGUCCUCGGCGACGAGCGCCACGACAAUCGGUGGUUUUUUUACCCUCGUUCCUCGUCGUGCGUGCCCCGUCGCCCGAACGCGCUCUUGCGACCCUUACGCGUCGCCUCGGCGGCGCUCCCAACGCGACCCCAGGUCAGGCGGGACUACCCGCUGAGUUUAAGCAUAUCAAUAAGCGGAGGA